UACGAAGGGGGGCUAGCGUUGCUCGGAAUUACUGGGCGUAAAGCGCACGUAGGCGGCUUUCUAAGUCGGGGGGUGAAAUCCUGGAGCUCAACUCCAGAACUGCCUUCGAUACCGGAGAGCUUGAGUCCGGGAGAGGUGAGUGGAACUGCGAGUGUAGAGGUGAAAUUCGUAGAUAUUCGCAAGAACACCAGUGGCGAAGGCGGCUCACUGGCCCGGUACUGACGCUGAGGUGCGAAAGCGUGGGGAGCAAACAGG
Molecule: ribosomal RNA, 255 nt
Filed under: uncultured bacterium
Lineage: Bacteria
Description: partial 16S ribosomal RNA
Rfam family: Bacterial small subunit ribosomal RNA
Source: RNAcentral